AUGCCCCGCGCCGAACGGCAUCAUCCUCGUCUGCUUGCGCCCCGGCAGAGGGCCGACGCCCUCGGCGUCGCCGCCGGCCAGGAACCGCUCUGGCCGGAACUCGUCGGGGUCCUUCCACGCCUCUUGGCCAGCUCCACGAAGAAGGGCAGGACCGGGCGGUUCGAGAAGGCGUCGGCGUCGUCGACGAGCACGCGGUGGGCGACAGCAGGGUCGCUGAUCCUGUGGAGGACAGCCGGAGCUGGAGGUGCAGGGGCACGCCGGCUGCUACGACGGACCAAAAUAGACAAGCCCAAGAGAAAGACGGCAAGCAUCACAAGGAGCUCCAUUAAUGGUUUAGGCUGGGCAGUUUUUGAACAAAACCAAUAUUACCUCCUUCUUGUUAAACAUGUUCGAUGCCUGGCUAUGCACGCCAAGUGUGGCCUUGUGCGCCAAGGCUUAUGUAGGCCUCCCUCUUCUGCCACAUCUAGCAAGCCCAGAUCAUCUUCCUCUCGCUGCAAACCCCGAUCAUCUUUUUCACCAAACCAAGCCAUGUCCACCACCAACCACGUCCCAUCCAUUGGCCUGACCACCACCACAUCCGAGCCGCCUCUCACAAGAACCAAUUACAUACUAUGGAAAGCCCAAGCUCGCUCCCAGAUCAUGGGUGCCGGACUAUAUGGGUACAUAGAUGAAACCAUGCCCGAGCCAACCAAGACCAUCAUCACCAAAAACUCAGAAGGAAAGGAAUCCACCGUUCCAAAUCUUGCCUACAACGCAUGGCUGGUUCAGGACCAUAAGAUCGUAGCUUUCCUUCUUAGAAACCUAUCAAAGGAGAAAGGUUCCCAGAGUGCCACCACAUAUUUCGGUCAGAUGAGAGCCCUCUCGGAUGAACUAGCUGCAGCGGGGAAACCCAUAACAGAAGGAGAUCUUCUUUCCUUUAUUAUUGCAAGGCUCGAUAUGGACUACCAACCCCUAAUUUCGGCGCUGGAUGUAUGCACUGAACCCCUCUUGGUGGAUGAUCUCUUUGGCAUGGCCGCCAACUUCAACCAGCGCAUUGAGAUGUUCCACGAGACAUGGGCAGUCUCUACCACAACAACUCCAACAGAAGCGGUGGAGGCAGCGGAUCCCGUGGAAACAAUGGCGGUGGUGGUGGCAGAGGCCACUACAAUAACGGCGGCGACAGCAGCAGCUACUACAACAACUCCAAUAAUGGUGGCGGUGGUGGCCACUACAACUCCUACAACAACAGUGGUGAUGGUGCCGGCGGCCACUACCAGAACGGCGGCGGUGGUGGCUGCAGCCAGUAGCAGAACGACGGCGGCGGCAACAACAGGCGCCCCUACUACAACAACAACAGGGGGCGCCCCUUCCAAGGGUAUGAGUAGUAUGAGAACAAGUGACAAAUUUAGACAUCUUCCUCCCUGUACAAAUAAGACACACGUCUUCUCUCAUCGCCUUCGAAGCAGCCGCUCGAGACCGAGUCAGCCAGCGGCCCACCCCCUCCCUCCCCAUGCCCUCCACCUCAUCUACCGCCGCCGGAGGGAGCUCUUCCCCAUGCCCUCCACCUCAUCUACCGCCGCCGGCGGGAGCUCUUCCCCAUGCCCUCCACCUCAUCUACCGCCGCCGGCGGGAGCUCUUCCCCAUGCCCUCCACCUCAUCUACUGCCGCCGAAGGGAGCUCUUCCCCAUGCCCUCCACCUCAUCUACCGGCGUCGGAGGGAGCUCUUCCCCAUGCCCUCCACCUAACUCUUACCGCCGCUGGAGGGAGCUCCGCUGCUCUCCUGCCGCACGCCGCUCCUCUUUCCCCAAGGCGAUGGAAAUCACAAAACCGGGACACACCAGACCAGGGGCUCCUCGAUCGCUGCUUGGGUCAUCGGUGGCGGUGUUGGCGAUGAAGGAUGGGGGCGGCGAUGCCGUUGGCCUCCUCCAGCAGCCUCUCUUCGCCACGCUUCAGCUCCGGCCCCUCGCUUGCCGCCGCCUGCGACGCUGGUGUUCUGCUCGCCUGCGAGGUGUUCUAUCAAUUGACCAAACCGAGCCAAGUCUGAGCAUGGAAAAUGGUCACGUACUUUCCUUCCCGAGCAGUACAGUACUACGCCAGAAGCGAUGUCGGCCGAACAGGCGAAGAGGAAAGAGGCCACAGAAGGAUUCUUGCGUCCCAAAUGUCAGUUUCAGGUUCACGGGCAGGAUGGUGGAUUCGUUCUUCGAUGGCCAGACUAUCCAUGUCAAGCGACGGCAUGAGAAGAGCUCCGGGGAGGUUGUCAUGUGCCGGUGCAUCUCACCUUCAAGCACAUGCCGCAGACUCCGGCUGGUGUGGCUCCGUUCCUUCCCGGUCCUGUUUUUCUUUACUCUCCCUUGGUUACUGUUUGCCUUAAUCUUGAUUUGUUUUGUCGGUUCAUGUUGUUUAUUAGUUCUUUCUUUGCUGGAUGUUCGGCGCGCUGAUGCUGCAUGGAAGCAUUUGAAGCGGAAAAAAAAAAUCUUCACAUACCUUCCUGUGUGGGAGUAUUAUGCCCGUUCAACAAGUAGAAGACCGAGCCUCUCCAGCAAGGAGAGAAAGGACGACUGGGUCUCUGGCUUAGUGCUACCUUGUGCUUCCAGUUUUUUGGUUCAUGGACGGUCAGAUGGUAUUUCACCUAGCUCUUCCAGUUUGUUGGUUCAUGGACGGCCAGAUGGUAUCUCACCUAGCUGGCCUGCUUUCAAGUAUCAGUUUGCUAAACAGAAAAGAAGCCAACGGGGCACACUUCAUAUCUUGGAUGUAUCUGUUAUACGAAUGUUGUACUUUGUAGGACAAACUAUAACAAAACAAACACAUGCUGAGCCAAUGGGGGCGGCGCGCCGCAGGGCAUGCUUCGGUGGAUCGACUUGA
Molecule: ribosomal RNA, 2841 nt
Filed under: Triticum aestivum (bread wheat)
Lineage: Eukaryota; Viridiplantae; Streptophyta; Magnoliopsida; Poales; Poaceae
Description: partial small subunit ribosomal RNA
Source: RNAcentral